Molecule: long non-coding RNA, 942 nt
Organism: Anguilla rostrata (American eel)
Lineage: Eukaryota; Metazoa; Chordata; Actinopteri; Anguilliformes; Anguillidae
Exons: 3
Source: RefSeq, a predicted model, not a curated record
AUGAACCAUUUCCCCCAGCCCUCUGCCUGCAGUUACCACAGUAACCACACCUCUCCUCCAAAAUAGCUUAGAUAGAACAGUUGUUGUUUCCUGUUUUUUGAGCCAUUUCCUGUGAAGUAUACCUUAUAAAAAGGUUAGACACCAAUAAGAAGGGCUGCAGAGGUCAUCAGCCAUGGCAAUGGUACUGUGGUGGACCCUGUUGUGGAUAUCAGGAUACUGUCACAGACUUUCAGCUGAGGUGUUGGUGCAGUACAAAUACUUCCUUUCUGAGCAGAUACGGGGGGUCACUCUACCAGCCCCUGCUGAGACCAACGGGACAGAAUUCAUCUGGGAGUGGACGUCACAUGAUGGAAGCUACACAAACACUCGGAUAAUAACUAUACAGUCCGAUGGAACGUAUUCAUGGAAUUUGAAGAAGGAGUCUAUUUCAAAACAAAGGAAGUAUGACAUUUAUCUGCGAGCAAAUUGGAAAGAUGCAGGAGUUUUUACUUUUAGUAAAACUAAACCAAAGAAAGUAAAAGUGGCCCAGUUUGAAGUGUUCGCUAUAAAAGUGGAACCGUUGAGCUGGUCCAGAGAAAAUGAAGGUUGUGAUGUGAUCAGGAGCUGUGAAGUAUCACACCUUCCAGAUUCAGCUACACUGGACUGGGAAAGGGACAGAGAACCUACUGCUAACACAACGCUGUUCUACAACAACACUGCCCACAUCAUCAUCCACAGUGCUGACCAAUACAGUGAGGGAUCAUAUUACUGCACACUCAGAUGGAACGGAGCACUUAUUUUCAGCAUUCCCAGUAAAUUUGAAGUCAAUUUGAAGGGUAUGUUACUAUGGAUACGGUUUUCACUGGAGCAUUUGCAAAAGCAUCCUGAGCUUUAACCGUUUUUCAUAAGUGAAUUUAUAACUGUGAAGCAGUUCUUUCAUUAAGAUUAAAGAUACACCCAAGU